GGUCCUAUAGCUCAGUGGUAGAGCUCACGAUUGCAGUGCUCCAUUGUUAUCGUGUGGUCGCGUGUUCGAACCACGCUGGGACCU
Transfer RNA from Laetiporus sulphureus 93-53, 84 nucleotides. It matches the Rfam family "tRNA". Rfam says of the family: Transfer RNA (tRNA) molecules are approximately 80 nucleotides in length. Their secondary structure includes four short double-helical elements and three loops (D, anti-codon, and T loops). Lineage: Eukaryota; Fungi; Basidiomycota; Agaricomycetes; Polyporales; Laetiporaceae. The record is from Rfam.